Molecule: long non-coding RNA, 833 nt
Filed under: Cyanistes caeruleus (blue tit)
Lineage: Eukaryota; Metazoa; Chordata; Aves; Passeriformes; Paridae
Description: lncRNA (ENSCCEG00000002736.1)
Source: RNAcentral
GGGUCCCGAAUUUGGGGCUGGGGGUCCCAAAUUUGGGUCUGGGGGUCCCAAACCAGCCAAAAACCCCAAAUUUGAGUCUGGGGGUGCCAAGUUUGGGUCUGAAAAUCCCAAAUCUGGGUCUGGGGGUGCCAAAUUUGAGUCUGGGGGUCUCGAGUUUCACUCUGGGGGUCCCAAAUGUGGCUCCAGGCACCCCAGACCCCCCCAAUUUGAGUCUGGGGGUUCCAAAUUUGAGUCUGGGGGUCCCAAACCCCCGGAAUUUGAGUCUGGGGUCCCCCGGAGCCGCGAAUUUGAGUCUGGGGGUCCCAAACUCCCCCAAUCUGAGUCUGGGGGUCCCAAACCCCGGGAAUUUGAGUCUGGGGGUCCCCGCGGGCGGGAAUUUGAGUCUGGGGGUCCCAAAUUUGAGUCUGGGGGUCCCAAACCCCCCCAAUCUGAGUCUGGGGGUCCCCGGAGCCGGGAAUUUGAGUCUGGGGGUCCCAAGAGCCGGGAAUUUGAGUCUGGGGGUCCCAAACCCCCCCAAUUUGAGUCUGGGGUCCCGAGGAGCCGGGAAUUUGAGUCUGGGGGUCCCAAACCCGGUUCUAAGCCCCCCAAACCCCCGCAAUUUGAGUCUGGGGGCCCCCGGAGCCGGGAAUUUGAGUCUGGGGGUCCCAAACCCCCGCAAUUUGAGUCUGGGGGUCCCCGGGGGCGGGAAUUUGAGUCUGGGGGUCCCAAACCCGGUUCUAAGCCCCCCAAACCCCCCCAAUCUGAGUCUGGGGGUCCGAAAUUUGAGUGGCGGGAAUUUGAGUCGGGGGUCGCGGCGCUGUGCCUGCUGUGCCGCGAGGCCGUGAACCGGGCGC